GUUCUAGACUGCAUGUCUAGCACAUUCACGCGCCGGACUUCCACCGGUCCGGUCUGGCGGCCCCUCGAUUCUAACUCGAGCCUUUGAUGGGGCGCUCUGUCGCUGUGGCUGCUGGGUAAAGCGUAGACAGGGGGGCUUACGUCCCUUCCUUGGGGUGUGUGAGGAGUUGGUGGACUUCAGACCCCUAUGCCGUGUGGGGGGUCGGACUGGGUGGAGAGACUUGACCACAACAAUGCGUGCGUACCUGGUAGCCUUGCACGCCAAAGUUGCCGGCACGGUUGCUUGCAAUUGUCGCUGUCACCCUGUUGCACUUGGUGGCUGCAGAGCAGCAACGGUUUGAGGGCGCGGCGCGUAGAGUCUGCCACAUAGCGAAUCAGCGUUCUGGGAAGGAACCGACUUGCGCGAGCUUGCAACUUGUGUGUCACGAUGAGAAAAUUCUGCAUUGGCGUAAAUACAGAGCCCUCAUGACCGGUCUACACCAGACGACCAUCAUCUGGGGCCUGCAUGGGCGUCCACCCCCGCAUAUGUAUUUCUGGUCGCUUUCGCUUGGAUGUGUAGCUAGGACGCAUAAGUGCAAGAUAACCACCCCGCAAAAGGGGGCGCGAGCGUGUUGACCGAAAAUCAAGUUGGCCGGCGACGGCAGGGCGUACAUGACCCCUUCAUUUGUUCAGAUACGUUCAAUAGAAUCUAUUGUUUCCUGAGGGCGCUGACCCUUGGCCGGCUGCGUGGAGAAGCAACACCUUUGAUUUCUUUGCGCAUACUGGGCGCACAAACCAUACUGAAAGCAGCAUUCUGCUCUGGGCUUAUCUUCCUGUGAUAUAUGCUGCUAGCGGCCAACUCGUUGGCCAGUGCGUGCUUCAAUAGCCUGGUCGUGGAGGCAUGGCCACCCCCGUUCGGCGACCCGCAUUCCAAGCGCUACCUGUGGCGCCCGGUGCGCGUUUGCACGCCGCGUAUGCCCUGGCAGCUCAAAUAGUCCGCUGUGGGCGGCGGUUGGGACCGGCGCGGAAGGGGCUCAAGUGGAAGGGUUAUGGUGACAGAUGCGAGGGGUGAGGCUGCUGUACGCCGGCUGGCAUACGCCGCGUCCUGCGCCGCACGCGCCUGCGCUCCUGCCUAUGGGUGACCUAUAUCAGGGUCUGACAAUAGAGUGCCUAUGGUCUGGGGCGCAUGCGGAGCAGGCGUGGCGGGGUAGGCAUCGGCGACGGGGGCGGGGGGCCGAGGGGUAAGGGGCAUAGGCGGCACGAAGGGCGGUCGUCGUACGCCCAGGUAUAGAUAGUUAAAUAGUUAUAAUAACAGUUAUAAGGAGAUCAUCUUAUUGCCGUGGCGUGAAGCUGGAUGGAGCAGGCGGGGAGCAGGAAGGGUCGUCUUGGAUGCCUCGGUGCGAAGUAAACUGAGGCGGGGAGGUUGGAGGGGAGGCGGGACAGGCAAAGCCCCUGGCUACCGCACGCGGCACGCCGGCAGCAAAGUCCCAUCGCCAAUGAACUUCAACGGGCAUAUGUAUACAGCUUCGGUAGGAGGUCGUGGACGCCUGAGGAAAACCUUGCCAAAUAGCAAAACGCCAUGGGCUUCUUCCAAAUCCAGCUGAGCUCUGCAAAUGUGGUGCAGGGGACUGGCGGGAUGGCAUGCACUUCAUUGACCUGCCAGAGUGGCUUGCGGGGGACACCUCCGACUGGUAGAUAGCCAUCGAGUCAUUCAUUGUCAGCGUGAAUACUGUGCCCGCAAACGCGCCGUACUUUAUUGAGAGCAACACCCUCACCCAGGGCAACUCCUACUCAUCACUUACUAACAGCGCGGGGUACCAGCUGAUGCCCAUGGUUGGCUCAGUUUUCACACGCAUCAUUCCCAGCAACCUGCUGGGCACCCGGGUCGGAAACGCCUCCAUCUUGCGCGGCAAGCUGCACAACUUCAGGUUGGUGGGAAUGGACGGCAACCUGAUUCCCGCGGACGCAUUUGGCGCUGGUGUCACGCCCGUUUGGAUGAUGACCCUGGUGGCCUACUCCGACUCCGCAGCAGGGCAGCCUGGCAGCGGCGGCGGUCGCGGCGGGCCUGGCGGCGGCGCAGGGGCGCGUGCGGCAGGCCGUCUCACGCAUUGACGCAGGGCUCGGGCUGGGUGCUGGCGGUUCGGGUGAGGUGGGCAAGCAGGGCGUUGAGCCGCGCGUGGGGUCUGUGCCGCCCGCGGGCGGCGCUGGCAGCAACGCUGAGCCAAUGAGCAUGUCGCAGUAGUGUGCUGCUAGUUCUCUGUAACGGAAUGCUGCCGCCGAGUUUCCGCCGAGUUCCCCUGCGCCCCGCCCGCGCGUGCCCACCUGCGACUCUCAUGCACUCCAGCAAGUCCCGCCCGCGCUGCAGCCCAACUGUCGACCGUGUGGAACCGUGUGCGCCCAGAGGCAGCUGAUGGAAACCGGGUCAGCCCCAUGCGUCUCUCUGAGUUUACACGUAGCUCACACACGCAGCUUCCCAAACGGCCUCGCGCACGACUAUGCACUCCCACUCACGCGCCGCGCCAACCGCCACACCCGCCGUGCUCCACCGUGCUCAGACGCAGCUUCCCACACGCAUGCGAGCUCAACUGCCAGCUCCCAUUCGCACGCCUGCCGACUAGCGCCAACUGCCCGUGUGCGUCACUACAGUCGGGUAGCUUCCAAGCCGGGCUGCCGUACAACUACCUACUCACACUCGCGCAGCUGCCGACUGCCACGCUACCUCCUGUACGGCUGAGGGGGGUUGGGGUGCCGUACACUAGUUAGUUGGGGGGUAGUCGGAGCUGUUCUAGAACAUACAUUAUACUAUUCUUUAUGUAGGCGUUACCCCCAGCAUGGUAAGUCCUGGCAGGGGAAACCCUUGCCGACAGGUACGGAUGCUUGCCUCGCCCCGCCGCCACUCCACGCACCCGAAAUCCGACAUCAGCGGGGUCACGCUCGCUUUGUUGCUGCAUCAUCACUCUCCGUCCCACGGAGACCACGCGCAGUCGAUAUCAGUCAAGAAUGUGCCUAACUUUGCGCCACGUAUAGCACAAGGACCGGCCGGGCUGUCUGCAACGCGCGGCGCCCAGGCGACACCCGUGCCACAUAGCCGCCCGUGCCUGUCGUGCUGUGCUCAAUGAGUGUGCGCCGGGCACCACACUUCCUGCGUUUCCUCCUGCAUGGCGGUUGCACGCGACAUAACAGCAAUCGAAUGGUCAAUCAUUUGCUAGUGAACAACAGUCGCAAAGACCCCGUGCCGACUGCCCUGUGCAGUCACACGCUGCCAAACCCCACCACCCACAUUGAAUGCGCAGCCGGCUUUGACGGCGCAUGUCAGGUGGUACACUGACGGACAGCCCUCCUGUAAGCGCGCACAUGUGCAGCGUUGCGCAUUACAGUCAGGAAACCGGCUCAUCCAUAUGUGCCGUUGCACACUUGCACGACAACAACAAGGGUACGUACAACCUUCAGAACCGCAAACGGCCCCCCCAAACAUGCACACGCACCUGGAAGCAGCCCACCGUGGCUCCGCGGUUUUUGCACACGUGGCAGCGCAGCUGCCGCCCCCGCCGAACCGCCGGGCCCAUGUGGUGCUGCGCGCCGGUGGACACGCGGGCGACAUGGGAGUUACAUGCCUCGAAUGUUGUUGGGCUGCCCGCGCCACCGACACAGCACUGUACGUUCCAGGAAUGUGCUUUUAACCAGAAACCUAUGAAGUCGCCUUGAAAUUCCCUUACACGCGUGUUGGUCCGCCAUGGUUUCUGCAAGAUGUUGGCAAUCCCGCGCGCCCCUCCUGGCCCCCACCCACCCACGCCCUGUCCCCCAUGACACCUGGAGCCAUCCCAUUUGGCUAGGGCACAACACCCCACCCACCCAGGCGCCCCCCCCCCCACACACAUAUACACACUCAUACACAACGUAUUUCCCUGCCUGUGCCCCCUCACCAAGUAUCCCGGGUGGAAGGGGUCCUCCACCACCUCCGGGCACCACACCGCGCACUGCAUGUGUACGCGCGCCGUCCAGUUGGACGUGAUGCGCACCUUCACGUACUUGCCCACCUUGUCGGCGCUCAUGCCUGACAACAAGGGCGGAGGAAAUAAGCAAGGGCGCUUAGAAGGGUGCACACAAGCGGAGAAAAAAGCAACCGCUACCUUCCAAGCUGCGCCAAAGCCGUGCGCGCAGCCGCUGCUGCAAUGACAGCCCCGGCCCACGCUCACCCCUGACGGGCGUGCACUCGAGUUUCGUGUUGCAGAGGCCACACAAGCUGGUGCCGUUCUCCCCGUGCGCCACCAUCGCCGUGAUGCUCUCUAGCUCCUCCGGCGUUAUCUGCGCCGCCAGGCAUUGAAGGUCCGUUAUCAGGAUCGGAGGGGCCACCAAGCAAGCAGAUACGUGCACACACGUGCACCACAUUGCAGCCAGCUAGCACCGCACGCGUGAUGUCCCAGACACCAUUGAUGGCUAGGAAAAGCCCAAACGGCAGCCGUUUAACUGCGCCAUCCCCUCCCCAAUCCACACGCAAAUGACUGUCUUCCAUUCCCAACAACCGCCUUCCGUGACUUACAGGCACGGGCACACCCACGCUGUGCGGCAGCUCCUUCCGCUCCAUCACGCCUCGGUAGCGCCGCCCAUCCCGCUCCACCACCACCUCCACUUUAUUGGCAUCCAACGGCCGCACGUCCAGCACCCUCGGGGGCUCUUCACUGGUCCCCGGGUCGCUUCCCUCAUCCGAGGAGGCCGAAGAGGCAGGGCCCGUGCUUCCCCGCUUGUGCUGCUGCCCUUGGCCCUGCCCCUGCUUCUGCCCCAGCUGCUGCAAGGCUACCAGCUGCUGUGCUGUGGGGUCCUCGUCGGCAAUCAAAGUGCCGUCUUUAACCUGGUCAGGAUCCACAAACUCGGCGCGCCAGGAUGGCUCCUUGCGCUGCCGCUUGGCGUGUGGCUCGAUCGAUGCCAUGAGAGCAAUUCGUCCACUCCCGUUGGGCUAUGUUGUUUACUCCUCUCUACUCCUCAGCGGCGAUCGCUCCUUGGCCAGAUCCUGUGCCUGAAGGGAGAGGGCGAGGAGCUCAGAGUGACACAGGUGGGCGGAGACAUACGGCACGGAAGCCGGCCAGCAGGGCGGAGCCUUCUUUGCCCACGCAGCCUCAUGACCCUCAUCAGGAUUAUGGACCUGGUAACAUCGUAUAAUGAAUUGAUGUUGUACUCGGCAGCAGUGCCUAACCGUGCCAUCCUUGGAUUCGAGAAGGCAUGGUGGGUCCGCCACGCAUCCGGCGUCAUGGGUGAUACUUAUGGUGCUGGAGUGACGAUGUCUGAUAAGAUGAUCCUUACCUGGUAUUUGUCAAGCCAAUCCUUCUCUGUGCCGGACCGCCAGUUUACUGCUAGCCGGGGACCGCUGGUUGAGUGACGCGCUCGCGGCUUGAGCUCUUCCACUAUGCCAGAUCAGACAGAACAAAAGCUGUCGUUUGCUGCGGCCUGUGACAAAGAAAGGAGAGUGCGGCCGCACGUAGCUGCCUUGACACUGCUGGUCAAGACACAAGCUCAACGGCUGCAUACAUGCCCCCGCAGCACGCUACUGACUUGAUGUUAGGUUUACAAAUUUCUUAAAAGCGUUGGAACAAGGCAAGCACAUGCCCGCAGGGUGCAGCGUGCCCCGGAGAGACCGAGCUGCGUUCGGGCGCCCCAAAGCAAGUUCCGACCACAACAGCUGACCGUCACAUACCUGGUAAUAUUUGUCUUUGACUUUGUUUCUCUGCUCGAGGUGCCAAGUUCCCUCGCUUUGCUGACGCGCGAGUUUACCCGUUGCAGAGAAAGUCACAGGGGAGCACAAAUGCGUGCGAUCAAUUGCGACGGCGAUGAUGAAUAAUAAAUUUAUGAUAAAGUCCAAGAGUUGGGUAGUGUAAGGGUAAGAGGCGCGGCGACAACUGCAUGAAGAUGGCAUAUCGUUCUGAAGCUCUGCGACCCUUUUGUAACUUACUAACGGUGAUUCAUCAUAUUUACGGUUUGAUGUUUGUUUAUAGGCGUGUGAGCUAGCUUGGAAUGGCUGUCUUCGCUCGGCGCCGGUUUUUAGCGUCGCGGCAAGCUGCACGGUUUUGUUUGCACGCAUCGGCGUGCAGGCCAGCUCCUGCUCCCUCGUGAUGUAUUUUUACAGGAAGCCCCCCAGGAACACCCCUGUCCAUAGCAUACCUCUGCGCUACCUCUUCGCCAGUGGGGCGGCAGGGCAGGCGGCGGGGCAGGCGGAGGCGGCGGGGCAGGCAGAGGCGGGGCCCCGGGGCGCGGUGCACGUGCUGUGGCACUACCACUUCUCCGCCUUCCGCCGAAAGCGCUGGGCUGCGUUCAUCCAGCGCGACCGCGCGCUCCACCGCGUCGCCAAGCAGCUCACGGGCGGCAGGCCCAAGGAGGAGGUGGUGGUGGGGUGGGGUUCGUGGGCCUUCCAGGGAGGGAAGGGCGGCUCCCCCAUCUCCGUCAGGGGCGGGCGCGCGCCGACGGGGCGGCUCAUCAAGCUGCUCCGUGAGCGCUACGCCAAGCAUGUGUUCAUCAUCGAUGAAUACAAGACCUCCAAGGUGGGUGGGUUGAGUGGGAUUGCAAUUGCUGGUGGGUGGGUUUAUGCAUGGUGGGUGGGUGGGUGGGUUGAGUGGGAUUGCAAUUGCUGGUGGGUGGGUUGAAUGGGAUUGCAAGGUGGGUGGGUUGAGUGGGAUUGCAAGGUGGGUGGGUUGAGUGGGAUUGCAAUUGCUGGUGGGUGGGUGGGCCGCUGGGUUUAUGCCUGGCUUUAGCGGAAGCCCGUGUGUGGCCCCUCUCCCUCCCACCCUCCCGACCAUGCAGACCUGCUACAACUGCGGGUGUCAGGAGAUGGCCAUCAAGCGGCUUGGGGGGCUGAAGGAGGGGCAGCGGCCCUGGUCGGUCAAACUCUGCAACGACUGAUGCUUGACGACCUGGGUGAGGACCGCGUGCAUGUGCGGGGACGGCUGGGCACUGGGGACGGAUUGAUUGACAGGUUGACGGUUGAGACAGCUCAUGUGCGCUCUCUUCUUCCUCCCCGUUCCCCAUCCCCAGAACCGCGACGUCUCCGCCGCCAACGUGAUCCGUGUGCUCCUCCUGCUGAAGCUGAUGUAUGGGCUUCGAGCGGCCGACCAAGCUGCAGCGGCCGCCAUGGCCGCCGCCGGCGGCGGGGCCAGGCUGAGAGCCUGAACGGCGCUAGCAGGGCGUGGGGCUGAGGGUGCACGUGUCGAUUGGCGGCGAGUGACGUGACUAGUUUGUUAGCUGCGGGUUAGCACGGACUGUGCACCCCACCCAACCGGCCACGUCCGGAUUUGCGGGGAUGCCAAAGGCCCCCAACAUAGAGGCGUGUGCUUAGUAGGCGCCCGCGUCAAGGUGGCUGGGUUGAUAACGACCCGGGAUCAGCCCUUUUCCUGCCUCCCUAAGGCAGCCACCUCCUUGUUACAGGAAUUGUCAGUAAUUGAUAUCCACCUUGAGCUCUCGUGUACGUCGCACUUUACCCCGGGUAUGGCCAGGCUGUGCAAGGGGCAAGAAAGCUCAGAAUCCCACCCCAUGCUCGAAAUUGUACGCCGGCGUUCGACCAGCCAUGCACUUCUGCUCUGCCACUGCAAACUGUUUGCCGUCUGCUUAAGGGUCUGGGCAUCAGCUGCACCCUACGGGACCUCGCCAACCUGCCUUGAACCCUGUCCCACCACACACCCAUGCUCGAAAUUGUAGAUCUUCAGGAGAGCAUUACGCGUGUACUUGUAUUUUUGUCAGGGGUGGUCUGGCGAGGAAGUUCUGGGCCGCCAAAGUCGUGGUCCCUGGGGGUCCGGCGGGUUUUGGGAGCCCAUCCUGGCGGAUUUCGGGAAGCGCCCCACAAGCAGAACGUAGCGGAUGGGGCAGGCCAGGCGACACACAUCGAAGAGAGAGCGGCGCCGCCCGAGAAGCGGCGCCGGCGCGCAGGCCUGCCGGUAUCUGGUUUGCGGUCUUGGCUGCUGGCGAGCAUAGCAUGGCACGGCGGUAUGCGGCAAGCAUGAAUACUGUGCUUGUGCUUGACAGCGGUACGCGGCUGGACACAUGGCGGGCGGUGCCUGUUCCAACCGACCCCGGCUACCGUAUGUCCGCAGACAUGCACGAACAUGCAUAAACGUGGCGUGCGCGCAGCCCAUGUUUCCCUUGAGAGGGAGCGCCACUCUUCUUAUCUAGUUGCCCGAAAUUUGAGACGGUGAUAGAUAGAUUGACAGUAGCGACGCCUGCCUGUGCGGCGAACUAACGCUUGACCGCUUGUGCAUCUUUUGUUUCGAUACGUGGUCCCCUGCCCAAUGCGGAGGUGGGUUGCAUACCUGCUUGUUCCCUGGGCACGUACAUCCAUGUUAUGAUUGGGGUCUGGCCAACCGCUACGCGCUGCCCAAAACCACAACCACACCCCGCUAACGUACCUGCCCCCGCCCGGCCGGCAGCCGCCGCCCCGUGCGGCUGCCGGUUUCAUGACGGGUGUGGGGAACCGCAAUGCGGUCCGCACCCGUCACCUGCCUGCUGUUUGCCCCCUUGCCUCUUUGUCUGCGUCUGCUUGAGUCCCUUGCCGCCCCUUCGGAGGUUUCGUUUACGUUUACUGCUUGUGGCUUCCUGGUGUCGCAUGGCAUAUACACCGCACGCGCCCAUGCCGACCGCAGUGCGACCGGGAUGAGCCAUGCAGCGAUCGCGCUGUCGUUACUUCCUCGGCCGCCCGGCGCACAUGCUCAUUUCACCGCAUACAUCACUUCUCCAUACUUAGUGUUCUUCGUUUAGCCACCCCACGCAGCGCACAGCCACAGCCCGCCGCCCGGCUCGCGCACCAUGUCCUCGCGGUUGUUUUGGGGUCGACGUUGCUUGCCUCGCGCCUAGCACCAUAGCUUCUACGCUGCAGUGCAUCACGCCUCCUGUCCCUCCCUCCCUCCCAUACAUGUCGUGCUGGGCACCGGUGGCGCUGGUGUUCUCUAGGUUGGUUUCGGGCGCAUCCUUUCUGGUAGUCCCAAGCAACGUCAGCCCGGCCGCCGUCGUCCAGCCCAGCCAUCCCGAUACCGCAGCCGCCUUCCGUAAACCAGCCAUGGGAGCGACCGUCCACAGCGUUUACCGUCGGUUACGAGGUAACAUGUGAAUUCGCAACUUGCGCUACUGACUGCCUACUCUCGUGCCGCCUGCAAGCCCACUCCGCCUUCCGCUCUGGUCUGCGUACGCAUUAGUUCCGCAACACUCGUCAUACCAUGCCAGCGGCGCCGCCGGCAGCAGCAUGAGCUCCUGCUCCCAAUCUAAUCGUCCACAACGGCAAUUCUAGACCUGCGCCAGCCGUGACGCCGACAGCAGCCUUCCCAGCAAAGCGCGCAGCACCUGCAGCCCUGUGGCGUUCGACAGCCGGUGGUCCCCGCCCUCCACCACAUGAAGCUCACAACCCGCUGCUUCGGGCGCUGCCGCCGCCGCCGCCUCUAUCACCACUGCAGCACCUAAACCUUCCGUGCAUCGAUUCCCCUCCUCCCACACGCCGUGGUUUACAUCCACAACCUCUCCCAGCCCGCAGUGGUGGUAGGCCUCUGUUCCGCCGCCCAGCUGCGGUGGCGGCAGCUGCGCUGUCGCCCCACCUGCGACGACCGCGGCAGCGGUUGCGGUAGCGGCAGCGGCUGAUGCGUUGUUGAUGCCAUCAACCAGGGUGCGGACGAGUGGCAGCGGCACCACCGCAUCGUUCGAGCCAGCCACGAUAAGCACCGGCAAGGGCACCGGCACCCGCAACUCUAGCGGCCGCCGCCACACAAUGCUGCCAGCAGCAGUACCUGGCCACAGCACACCUGGCCCUCCCAGUUGCUCCGGCCCCUGCCCCGAGGGGCCCAGCUGCCCUUCACGCCGGCCGGCCUCGCCCCAGGGCCGUACAAGCAGCAAGUGCUCACGGCCUUGUGUGAAGUAGGCGGGGCCCACCCAGUCACCGCCCUGCAUGGGGUACGGAGAGCCCAGCGACACACGCCCGCCGGCCCCGCCGUCGCCGUCGCCGCUACCGCGUGCACCUUCACUCCCUGCGGCAGCCUUGCUGCUAGCGGCUGCGGCAGUGACGCUGUCGCGCUGCUGCUGCGUCAGCGCCGCCCAACGCACCUCCGACAGAUCCACUGCCGGCGCCACCAGCAGCGCGCCUGUGAUCUGGGGGCCGCGGCUGCUGCUACUGCUGCCGCUGCUACUGCUGGUGCUGCUGGUGCUGCUGCUACUGCCGCGGCCUUGGCAGGUGGCGGCGGUGGCAAGGGUGCCUUGUGCGCGCGUUGCCGAGCGCUGCGCCACACGAAGCGCCACCCAACCCCCGAUGGAUGAUCCUGUCCGUGUGCGAGCAGCGUUGAAGUAGUUGAAGGUGGUGGGAGGGAGGAGGGGGUGAGUGAAAGUGUGUGGCUGUGUGACACCCGGCAGACAGAGCCAGGCCGCAGUGGUUAGGAAGCGUCCCAUUCCAUUCCUUCCUAGGAGCACGUACCCGUGCGUGCGCAAGGCCGCCAAAGACAUGUCCUCACACACGCACGCGCACGCAGCAAGCUCAACUCACCCAGCAGAACCACACGCGGUGCCGCCACCACCUCGCGCAGCAGUGCCUCUGUGUCCUCAAUCCAGUCCGUCAGGCCACACGACUCCCACGCUCGCCCUGUGGAGGCGCCAAACCUGCACACACACACACACACACACACGCACUCUUCUUAUAACACUCGGCCGUCCCAUGUAAAGAUUGUCGGAAGGUGGUGACACCAGGUACGCAACACGCAUGUCGCUCAUACCGUACGCACAUUCCAGGAAGCCCGGCACGUUUCCGGACUCAGGACCCCAACAACCUCAGGUGCGCCGUGCUCAACCCCAUGCUUCCACGCCGCGGCCUUACUUACCCCGAGUAGUCGAAGCAGACGAACUCGCAGCCCUGUGCCGCCGCCUGCUGCAGCGCGCAACGCACCUUGGACCUGUGGACCAGCAGUGCCGCUACUAGCUUAGCCACUACGGAGCGUAGCGGAGUAGGGGCUGAGCGGGGUUUAGCAUGGAGGCCGUACUAGACGGCCGGAGCUGUUAGCGCUUGCCGCUCUCCUAGCUCGGCAUUCUGCCUCUCUAGCUCGCUGCGGUAUUUCUUUUGUCCAAGCCUUUGAGAGUAUUUCCUACUGCCCGCCCGCGAGCCCUUGCGGCUCGCCCCCGCCCCAGGUGUCCCGAGUGGAGCCGCGGCGCGUCAUGGCCGUCUGGUUGUGGCGGCGCCGUCGCCUGGCGCCGCCCUCGCCUGGUCGCUCUGCUGGAGCUCGGCGGUGGAGCCGGCGCUUUUGUCGGUGGUGGUGUGGUCGUAGGCGUUGUCGUGAGGCCGGCGUUGAGGGUGAUUGGGCGGGCCCGCGAGGGCCCUAGGCGCCCGCUGCCACGCCGUUAGAGGGUUUUCCGGUUUUUUUUGGUUCGCGCUCCAGGCUGCCCCGGUUUUUUUAGGGCUUCGCCACGGUUCCGGCUUUUAUACCGGGGCGUCAGCCUGGAGCGCGCGUUGUUGCCGGGACCCUGGCCGAGGCCACGGGUGUUAGCUGUUGGUGUGUUGGCUGGUCGCGCUUCGGUUGCGCGUGGUUCUGCUUUCGGCGCCGUUGUUCCGCGCCUUGGUGGCCACGUGGGUUGCUGUUUGCUGCCGCUGUCGUGCUGGUGGCCGCGCUGCGCUCGCGCGUGCCGGUCUCGCUCGUCUGUUUUGUGGUUGUGUCGCGGUGGCGUGGCGUUGUGUCGCCUUUGGGGGGGCCGCUCGGGCGUGCCCCCUCGCUCGCUUGCGCGGGUGUGAGCCGUUCUGCAGUGUAGGUGCCUUUAGUCAGGCUGCUCCCUACCGCCGCUCCGGCUCAGCUCAGCUCUUUAUUAUUACAGCGUAGGCCGUCUGGCCGACGGCUAAACAAGGUAGGGCCGCGUGGUGGCCGGGCGGCCAGACUAGCAGCAGCAGCACGUCGUGGGUGGGUGGGCGCGCACACACACAUGUACACACACAUGUACACACACACACACACACACACACACACACACACGCGCGCAUACGCAGUGUAACCGUGAUGAUGUCCUGUGCAGCGCCGCACCGUGCCCCCCGCCCCCCCCCCACACACACACACAUACCCGGCCAUCUCGCUCUUCAGGCCGUUGCAGAACAGCACGCACGUGUGAGGCCGCGGCUGCACCGCUGCACCCGCGGCACUCGCAACUCUGCCUCCCGGCCCAUGUGAAGAUCCUGCUACUUGCCCCUCCGUCGCCUGUGGCGCCUGCUCUUGCGGCACUGGCUGGCGCCAGUGCCUGUACGCGAUGCGCCACCCAUCCUCCGUGGCCGCUCCACCGCCUCCAUCUUUGCUGGCGCUGAAGCUACUAGCCUGCCGCAGCCCCGAUGCAGCAUGCCGUCGGUGCCGGGCCAGGAAGCGCAGUGGCAGGUCUUCCAGUUGCGGCGGCGUGCCCGCUGCAUGCGAUGCAGCCGCCGCUGCCGAGCCCGCAGCAGACGCAGCAGGCACAGCUGACAUGGCGGGAGCGGGCCUGUCCGGCUGGCGUUCUGCUGAGUUGCGAAUCGUGCUUGAAGCUGAAGGCCGACUUUGUCUGAGCUUGGCCCGCAGAGCAGCUGAGAGAUAGCGUCGGGUGCCGUAUAAGGCUCCGUGGGCAGGGUCAAGCCGGAGACGCGGGCCGAGGUGAUGGGCCAGCAUUCGCCCUCCAAGCGGUGCGUGGACCUGGUAGGGUUUGCAGCGUGCACGCCACCGUUUUCCUACAUCAUGUGAUUAUAUUCAUACGUAACACAUUAUCAUAGACGCAACACGCUCUAUGCCGAAAGCCUUACAGCAUUCGACCGAACAAACUUUACAACAAGCUCGUUCUAACUUGCAACAUAGAAUAUGUUGUGUGUUUGUGAUGUAGGUGAGCGAAAAAUCAAAUGAUCUUAAUUGCAUUGCGCGAACAGAAAGAGCGCUAAGGGGGCUUGUGCGCGGGGUGGCAUAGAACCCCCAACUGUCCGAAUCGUGGCGCUGCGCGCAUGCGGUUUCCAGCUCGCCCCGCCCAAGCGAGCACUUUAGCUAGCUAAUAUCACUUCGAUGGCAACCAAUACGCAAGCAGCCUGCGCGCAGCGCCGUUCCAAGGCCCGGCAGUGCUCCACCGCUUCGCUUCUCAUCAGCCUCGCCGCGGCCGCGGCUGCUGCAGCUGCUGCGAGCGGCCAGCUCGGCCAGCAGCAGCCGCAGCAGCCCGCCUGCAUGGGUUACAGCGGCGGCCCGGUGGACUGGUGGCUGCUGCUCAAGUACCCAAGCGGCACCGCGGCGGGCUUGCUGGAGGGGGAGCUGCUGCGCGGCGACAGCUUCCUGACGCCAACGCCAACGUCAGCGGCGGCGGCGGCAGCAGUGCAGCACGGCCGUGCUCACGUGAGCAGCGAGGGAGGGUGGCGGCUGGGAGUCGGCGUCAACGACCCCGCGGGGCCGCUGCGCGCCACCCUCGCGGCUGCGGGUGCGGCAGCAGCUGCGGCGCCGGCUGCGGCAUCCGUGGAUGCUGACCGCUUAAGUGGCCACUCCGGGGGCAUGAGUGGCGCCGGGGCCGGUAGUAGCAGUAGCAUUAGCAGCAGCAGUAGUAACGUGCGGGGAUACGUCAUGUACAACGACGCGGACCCAGAGGGUGUGGAGCACUGGGCGGGCGCCCACGCCAAGGGCGUCCUCGUGCUGGGUCCGGAGGGCGGCGCCUGGGUCACACACUCCUUCCCGCGCUACCCGGGCCGCCCGCCGCGCGCCGCCGCUGCCCACACGACAGCUGCUGCGCCGCCGCCUGGGUCGCGGUGCUGCGCCGCGUCUUGGGCACUGGGAUGGAUGGUUCGCGGAGCCAAGGCCGCUGCCGCGGGUUUGGGGCUGUCAGGGUGGGCCCAGGCAGCGCUGGAACGGGCCUUCGGCGGGGAAGGCGAUAGUGGUACCGGCGGUGCUGGCAGUGGCAGCAGUGGCGGCGGCGGUGCCGGCAGCGGAGGCACCGAGGGCGACUGGGAUGUGGUGCAGCCGCCGCAGACGGUGUUUGGGCAGCACGCGCUGUGCCUCAGCCUCCCGGCGGAAGCGGUGGAGGCGGUGGCGGCGGGGCUGCUGCUGGCACGUGUGUAUGUGUACGACUACGUGCUGCCGCCGGACCUGGCGCAGCGGUAUGACACUGUACGGCAGCUCAUUGACGGGUCGGUGGGCGGCUGGGGGGCGCCAGGGCAACAGGCACGAGCAGAUGUGGGCAGUGCAAGCGGCGGCGGCGGUGGUGGGUGGUGGCAUGCGGGCUUGGCGAUAUCACGGCGGGUGCUUGGACGACCCGCAGCGGGGCAACAGCUGCGGCAGCAGGCAUGGGGGCAGCCGCAGCCAGCACCAGCGCACGUGGCCCCGGCCGCCAACACGUCUGUGCAGCAGCUGAGCACGGUGGGCGGCAUGCGGUGGCUGCACGUGGCCAAGUCGCCCGACCACACAGUGCCGUUCCACGAAGAGGUGGGCGUGGGGGCUGGCCGGCACGCGGCAGCAGGGGAUGAGAGGGCGAGGGCGAGGGCGAGGGCGAGGGCGCGCGGUUAGGGAGGAGGCAGUGCCGAGGCGGCAAGCAGGCCCAUGCUGGUUCCGGGCCGCAGAAGGUCAUCAAUCCUUCAUAGUUUGGGCAUCAACCAAACCGUGCGCUUUGAUUGCCUGCCUUCAUCCCUGAUUCCUCACAUCGUGCACCGGUGCACGCGGCCACCUCGUCGUGCAGGUGUUGGAGCCGCUGCUGGGCGCGGCGGCCAUGGCCUGGGAGACGUGGCGUGUGGGCCCCAGCCUGCCCUCCCAGUGCCCCCCGGACACGCAGUACGGCAGCCUCAACGUGCGCCGGCUGGCGUUCCCGCCGCCGGGGGCCGCAGGCGCGGCAGCGAGCAAGGCAGCAGGGGCAGCAGGGGCAGCGGAGGCAGCAGGGGCAGCCGGGGCAGCCGGGGCAGCGGGGGCAGAGGCAGCUGAGGCGGCUCAGGUGGCGGCGGGUGCUUGGGUUGGCGAGGGGGUGGGGUGGGACUCAUUGAAGGACCACGGCAAGUGGGGCGUGAGCUUCACCAGCGUGGACAUGCGGCAGCGGGGGGUCAGCGGCCCAGGCGCUGGACAGGCGGUGCAGGGAGGGGAGGGCGUGGCGACACCCCGGGGCGGUGCUGCCGCCGCCGUGAUGCCCCAGCCAGGCGUGGCGUGCUUUGGAGACCUGAACCGCCAGCCCAGUCAGCGGUUCAGGGGCGGCGGGUAUGUGUGCUGCAGCGGCAGUAACAGCAGUGCAGCGGGCAGCGGCAGCAGCAGUAGCAGCAGGGGCGGUGGUGGGGCGGACCGCGAUGAGCAACAGGGAGGGGGUGCGGGCAGGCUGUGGGCGGCGAUGCGGGCGCUGGUGGCGGAGGUGGAGCCGUGUGCACCAGCGGCAGGGGCAUGGAGCAAGACGUGAUCGUGAGAGAGGCAGUGUGGAGAAUGCCUGCCAAUGCACGCUGGGUGUGAUAGGAAACCUUCCGUAGAUGGAGGCGCGGAAGGCAGCGGCUGGGUAUCUGACUAGGGUGCUGACAGGCCGUGUCAAAGUUGAGUUGAGAUAUAGGCACUAGAUUCGACGCCAGGCGGCUGGCAGAUGAAGCCGGCAAGUGCAUUCGAAGCCUUACACGCCGGUCCGUGUGCCCCGUGCGAUUCGCCUGCCACUCUGGCUUGCUCGUGCUCGUGCGGUUGCGCAGCCUAACCGCCGCUCACAACGUGCACACUCUAAUCUGAUCACAAUGUCCGCACCUGCCUGAAGAGGAUCAACAGGCAAUGCGUUGCUGUAAUUGCUCUUGCGGCUGUGCAGCCUGACCGCUAUUCGCAACAUGAAGCACUCGAGUCUGAUCGCGAUGUCUCCAGCUGCCUGAACAGGCCCCCACUGCCUGAGGCCUGCCUGCAGCCGCUCCUCGCAACAGCCGCAUCCCAUGCACGACCCCAUGGAUCAUGAAGUAGAUCACUUCCAAAUAAACGGCUAAAUGUCUUGGGCCAGGACAACCGGCAACGCGUGCCACCGCCAACAGUAUCGCCACGCGCACGCUGCGCCUAACCUCACUGUCGUACACACCGACACACGACACGCCUGAAACCACAUACGCAAGAUAGUCUUCUCUCUGAGCAUCCUCCACUAGCACCAUAGCCACCAACACGAACACCACAACCAACGCCACCAACCAGGGCGGGCGCGAACACCAAAACUCCCCUGCCGCGAACCAGCUUCCAGAAGCCCCACGCCACCGCCGCCUCAGCACUCACAGCACGCCGCUGCCCGCCACCACCACCUUCUGGAAGGGGCGGUAGAAGGCGCGCUCCGCCGUCACCGCGCGCUUGUCACCCAUGGCCUUGCCCGCCUGCGCGUUUCAGGUGGGAGUACUUUGGUGAUCUGGUGGACUCAUACACUUGUCAGCCUUGCACGCCCGCAGCCAAGCCAGGGUGUGGCGCGCUGGCCCUCACUCUAUCGCCAAACCGUAUCCCUGGAUCCUCGCCGCCCCUCCAUCGUUGGGCUAGCCAGUAGCCAUGCAGCAUUCCCCGCCGCCGCACCUCAUACCCCUGAGCCCCCCCCCCCAGCACACACACCCGCGCACACCUGGAAGUAGGGGUUGUCGUUGCGUGGGCGGUUGACGGGCAGCUUGGCGAUGCGCUCCAGCAGCUCGCCGCCCUCAACCACCCGGCCGAUGAUCAGGUUGGUGCCGUCCAGGUCGGGGCUGUGUUAAAGAGCACAAGGAAAACGUCGGGGCUGUGUGAUCGUGUGUGGGGUGGGUUACAUUCAUGAUGAUAUGAUGUGGGGGGGGGGGGCGGGGGGGGGUUGCAAGGAUGUUUGGAAAGCCAGUACAGGAUGCACUGGUGUAUGUGUGUGUGUAUAUGUAUGUGUGUGUGUGUGUGUGUGUGCCAUUCAUGCGAACAGGGGGGGUUUAGUCCCAAUCCCGAACAAAGCAAGAUCCAGAGGGAGGUUGUGGUUGUGAGGCGAUUGGUAGGUGAGGCGAGGGUGAGAAACCGGGGCCUUGAGUGGUGUUUGAGUGUGAGCGAGUGACGGGCAUGCAGGCUUGCACGCACGUGGAGCUUGUGGUGCUACUGAGUGGCCCGGCAGGCGGGCCCUGCGCCUGCGCCUGUGUGCUCUGGGGGCCCUAGGCCCUGCCCCCACCUGGGCGCGGUGGUGAUGGCGAACUGGGUGCCGUUGGGCGCCUCGCCCGCUUGCUCCUGAGGUGCGCGGCGGCGAGCGGGCGGGCAGAGGCAAGUAGGCGGAGAGACCAGGCCUCGUGCAACUCAGCAAACGUGUUACGGUGACUAUGUGCAGCAGUUUGACACCAGUUGUUGAUGGCGGGCUCCCACCCACCAGCACGGUGAUGAGUUUGCCGUCACGCGCCACCAGGCGCUCCUUCACCGGCCUGCAUGAUGCACACACGCGCACGGUGCGCAAGCUGACACGGAUGCAUGCCAUACUGUGUCAGUGCAGUUCGGUGUAUGGAGUAGGCGCAGUUCCUGUGCUUGUGACAAUCAGUGGUCAGUCAACCUCGCCCGCUUUUCCCAGGCCGCACACGAGCCUUACCGCUCCUCCUUUUCCCGGACGACGAUGGACACCAGCCCCGCCUGGUCGUGUUUCCGCGUCUGCUUGUCGAGCUCAGCCUGCGCACAUGUACAGCCAUGCGCGUUGGUGUUGUGUGUGGUUGCCGUGUCAUCUGCAGCCACACCUCUGGGGACCCGUGACCUGACUACCUACGACGACAAAGCCCAGCUCCUCAGCUUUCCAUCCUCCGUACCGCAAGGCCCACGGCUGAUCCCCAGGAGUCUACCUAGCACUUCGGUAGUCUUCUUAGCUCAGCACACACACACACACACACACACACACACACACACACACACACACACACACACACACACACACACACACACACACACGCCACGGCUCCCACCUCCAGCUCGUCAAUGGUGUCCACGCCGCUGAUGGGCGACACCUCGUUGGCCGUGUACGACAGGCUCUUCACGCCGUCAUUUCGGAUGUAGGUCUGCGGCCACGUGUAGCAAUACCAACAGCAAGGUGAUUGCAAGGCAGCAAGGUGAGACGCAGAGUCUGCCAUACGUUCCGGAAGGCCCAUGGCAGCGAUCACCGAAUGCGCCGCCCUUACCCAAACCCUUCUGCACACCCAUCUACACAAUCCUUCCACAUGCACAAGCCAUACGCGCUCUUGGACACAUCACAAACACGCACCGGCAGCACGCCAUUGAAUUUGGACAGGCGGUAGUCCACCCCUUGCCGCCCUGCCGCCAGGGAUGCAAAGCGCGAGGCGCCGGCGGGGGCGUCCGCAAGGAGCUCCACUGUGAUGCGGCCCGCGGGCUCGCCGUUGAUGGUCAGGUCGAAGAACACCUGCGGAAAGAGCAUAAGUGUGUGUGCAUAUGUAUGUGCGUGCGUGCGUGCGCGCAUAUGUGUGUGUGAGGCGGGGGGGGGGCGGGCGGGGGAGUUAUUUAUAUGAGAUAGGUCGUUCCCGUUCUUGCAGCAAUCUAAAGAGGUGUGGCGCCUACAGCAGAGAGCAGAGAGGGCGCGGGGUUCGUGCGGAUGCCAAGUUCGUGUGUCGAAGGAGUCAGCAGCGGCAGGCGGCGCGCGCGUGCGUAUGGGUGCUUUGAAACGUGCGACCUACCUUGCUGCCAACGCUGCCCACCACCUCCUCUGCCUGCACUGCCGCCGAGGGCAGCAGCAGGGCACUCGCUAGCAGCGCAGAUAUCACUCCGCGGCGGUCCAUGUUGGCGGUCGGCGGGGGCCGGGGGGCCUCCGGCCGGGGGCGAGCGGUACCUCCAGCAGCGGCGGCAGCGAAAACCGCAGCAACUCGGCGCCGGCUUGCGGGGGCCUGAGUCACCGCGCGAGGCGCUGCAAUGCCGUUCGCACUGCCUACAUGACGGCUAUAGGACUUGGUGUGCACGGCGUGCGCCAUCGCGACGAAGCGUGUGUGUGUUUUUGUGCAAGCGGGGUUGGCGAUGUGACUCGCGCCCGGCCGGAUGCGCUUGUUCGGACUGAUGGCGUGCAGCAAGGGGUUUGUAUUCUGUACAGUAACGUCACUUGGAGCGCAAAAUAGCAAAAGGCCAUGAGUUGGCGCCGAGAUCGAGCCCCUCCCCAUGCACUCAGAGCCGAAAAUGUGAACUGUGGCAGAAACGCAUGUUACCAACUGGCAGAUACUACACUCGCGUAUAGCUGUGAAUUGAUGAACCUGACAAACCACGGCAGCUGACGCCAAUCGUAUCCUGCAGCUCCGUUGCUUUUAUGGAGCAUUGAGUUGUGUAAAAUUCAGCUUAGUUAAUACAUAAAGUCUUUAAAAUGCUGCUCUGAGUAGGCCAGUCCAAAAGCCGAGGAGAUGGCUCCGACGUCUCACCUCCCAAAGCUACCGGGAGCUACUCUUGACGAUGGUGACCUAUCGUUAAAUCCCGCCAUUUACAUGUCGAAGGACACUCGACGGGUGCAAAAAUUGGCGCCCGUGGUCACGGUGAGCGCUGGCGAACGGUGUUAUGCACAAAUACUCGGAGGUGGUUGCUGUGUGAUACGAAGUGAGGUCGCUGGACUGCCUGGGGAACAACCCACCGUCACUGGGGUGAGGCCAGCCACCCAGCACGGUCAUGGCAGCGCACGCAGCCGGCUCAGUCGCCCCCAAAUUGCGGCGGCCCUCUAUGACAGCUCCAGGUCCAGCUGCUGCUACUGCGACCGCUGCUUCUUUCUCAAGUCAAGUGCCCCUCGCCGCGGCCAUGCCACUAACAGGUUGACGAGUUGCGCAAGACGGGGGUGCUGGGCGCGCGCCACACCAUCACGUCCAGCCUGGCUUACCCCGGCCUGACCGCCAAGUCCCUUUGGGAGCCCCCAGACGCCGGAGCGGGCUCUGGUGGGGAUGCGGACGACAGCGCCAGUGACUCGCCCUCCGCAGCCAGCGGUGCUGCGCGCGGCAGCCCGGCCGCCGCCAAGGGGCCGGUGCGCAUGGCCUCACCCGACCAGGUGGGACGGGGGCAGCAGCAGUGCACUGGUAUUGGCGGUGAUGGUAAUCUAGGUAUCGGGGAGAGGAGUAGGGGGCUGGCCACGACGGUGGUGGAGGGCGGGCUACCUGCGGUGGUCAUUCGGGUACCGUGCACGGCAGGGCAGGCGGGGCUGCUAGCGACGCACCGGGCUCGGCACUCCGCUCUUAGCACAAAUGAGAAGCGAGCAGAUGACCCUAGCCACCUGGGAACCAAGAACGCGUGUACUUUACAAUUUAUACAGAUUGUGUAGGGCCUGACGAACGGGCCCGUUGCCCGCAAGAACCGGCGACUGACGUCAUUCCGUACUCUAACGAGUCAUGCCUAUAUCCCACCAACCAGUGCUCCCAUUUAUGUUUGUUAACCCAGUACGAUGCCACUGCGGCGGCUCGAAGCACGCUGAUUCACGAGCGGCCCAAUGUGGUUGAGCGCAUGGAGAAGGGCGUGGCGGUGUGCGGCGUGCUGCGGGACAACCGCCACUACCGCCUCAACUCACUGGGUGGGUGCAGGCAGGGCGGUGUGAUGGGUGGGUGGGUGGAGCCCGUGCAGGGGUUGCAGGGUGGGAGACAGCGUGGAGUCGGGCGCGCUGUGCGCAGAAGGUUUGCGGCAGGACACAGGCGCGGUCAGCAGCUGGGGACGCCGGCAAUGUGGCGCUGGAGGACGGGCACGGAGGAGGGCAGACGGAGGAGCUCAUGCCUCAUGGGGUGCUCGGCAGCGCUGAGGGGCCUCAGAGCUGUGCACCGGGCUGCCGCCUUGGGUGUGGCAACCCGGACGGGCGGCGGACUCGAGGUCCUGGCGCACGCACUGACACCGCCGCCCACCUGGCGGUUCUUCCAGGUGUGUUCCACGCCGGCGUCAACGACGUGCGCACGCGCUCCAUGCACCGAGUGGAGCUGCACAAGCACCUGUCCAGCACCAACCUGCGCGCGCCGCAGGGAGACAAGGAGGUGAGGCGGUGAGGGCUCGGGCGAUGCGGUGAGGUGGCGGUGGACGCUGGAAGUUUUUGGCGACUCGGGCUGAGGUCCGAGGGCAGUCGCAUCGGGGACCUCGGUUGUGCCGUUAUGACACGCCACCGUCGUACAAACAGUCAACCAUGCUCAUACAACCACACUCGUGUUCUUGCCUUCACGCAAAUUUGUUCUCGGUGCUUGUGUGACACGCUCGUUCUGCAGGUUCGCAGCGCGGUGCAGCAGGACAAUGUGGGCACUCGGCUGGAGAAGAUGUACAACCGCGUGCUCAAGUCGCAGUACCUCACAGACGACCCAGGGUCAGUCACAUGGGGCGUGCAAGCCGGCAGCGGCGGUGGCGCCGGCGGCGGGCGCGGCGGCGCGGGCGGCCUGUCUCAAGUGGCGUCGGGCACGGCGCCGCCUGGGCUCAACGGAAGCCCUAGUGGGCCUGUGGGCAAUGGUGCGGGGGGCGGCGGCUCGCCGGGCGGCCUGCGGAAGGUGUUAGCCGCCGGCGGCACCUCGCAGCGGCGCCUUGGCGGCCCGGGAGGAAUGUCCAUAAGCAUACACGACGACUCCAAGGCGGGCCCGGGGCCCGGCUCUGAAGUAUUGUGAGUCGGGCUUCGUUGUGUUAAAGAGCACAAGGAAAACGUUGCGCAAAGACAGUGUAUGCUUCGUUGUGUGUGUGUGUGUGUGUGUGGCAUUUUGGGUGGGUAUUCUUGCGGUCGGGUGGGUGGAUGAGCCGGGUGCCGAUUUGUGGUUUUGAGGGCUGCUGGCACGGCGUUGUUCCAGGCUUUCGGGACUGUGGGAGGAAAGUGCCGUUGACAUGGAGCUUACGGAUGCGGCAUCACACAGCAACCCUGCACCCUCUCACAGGCGCGGCAAAGCGCAGGGCAGCGUCCUGCUGACGCCCAGCCACGCAACGGCGCGGAGUGGCGGCGGCGGCACCAUGAACAGCCCCACACACGCCGCCCGCAGCGGCGGCGGCGCGGGUAUGCCGCAGUCACCAUCCAUGCUAGUACGGCACGGCAGCCCUGGGCCGGGUGGUGCCGGCAGUCCGGGGCCGGGGCUGGGCAGCUCGCAGCAGCUGCCGAAUCCAUUCGCUGGGGGGCCCGGCGCGGGCAACACGACCUCGCCCAACGCGCAACAGCAGCGCGACCUGGGCGGCACAAGCAAGGGCACAGGUGCGGCGGCGGGAAUUCAGGUCCGGGAGGGGGGCGAUAGCCGUCUAUGGGCAACGGUGUGGGUAGUGCUCCGAGUCAAGACCUGGAAACAUGGCCCAGGCCUCAGAGGGUGGCGCAGUGUGAAAAGCUGCGGCUGGUCAGUCGGUGGCUCCCUUCCGGUUCUGGCACUGGGUUUAUUUGGGAUUGGGACAGAGGGCACAGUACCCACCCAUUCCACCGUGUCUCUUCUCUUGAAGCACACGCCUGUCGUCUUUCCCUCUGCUGUGUGUUGCUCGCAGCCCGCUCGGCGGACUACUGGGUGAAGGUGACGCUGCCGCCCGAGGUGAUCGAGGCGCAGCUGCGACACCUGGCAGCCACCACCGAGGCCAACCUGAGGGCAUACCAUGCCAGGGUGGCGGCGGCGCAGGUGGGAGGGGGCGGGGGCGGGGUCUCGGUUGCCCGGUCUCGGCUGUCGUGUACAGACGCUGCUCCACUUGUAGCGUUGUGCACAUCUCGUGCUUUCCUUACACACACACACACAUAAACACGCAAGCGCUCUUUAACACACAGGACGAGCUGCUGCACAGCAGUGGCCUGGGGCCGGAGACGCUGGGCCUGAACCCGGAGCAGGUGGAGCAGUCGCUCAAGGUCAAACUGGGUCAGAUACAGGAGGACACGUGAGUGGGGUGUGGCGCCUGCCGCUACAGCCGUGCGGUUGCGGGGACGGGAGCGCGGGGGUGGGGGGUGGCAUACGGUAGUCACGUCCGGUAGUGGCUGCAGCCUUCCACCCCUCAAGCACACUAUUUACAACCACUCGCCAAUUACUCGUACAUGCCGCCACACAACCGCUGGCGAACCCAAUGCUCGCAGGACCGCCAACGAUUUCAACUACUCCUCACUCAGCCGGGAGGCGGUGCUGGCCUCAAGGCUCGGCGCCGCCUCGAAGCAGCUGCUCACAGCCACCAGCUUACCGCAGUUCAUCCGGGCCGCGCUGGAGCACGUCACGCAGCACAGCUCAGAGCUGCAGCAGCUGGCGGAACCCGACCGAGCCAAGGCAGAGCAUGGGUGCGUGCGGCACUGCGGCUGCGCCGGCCAGGGCUAUGUUGUUUUUGUAGUUGUUGUAGUUGUUGUACAACGGGGGCAAAGCAAAGCUGCCGGGUUCGAGGUCAAGGGGAUGGAUCGGCCACUGUGCUAGCGAACAGAGUGCGCAGGCAGCGCACCGCCGUGUGUAAGGAAAGCAGCUUCCUUCCACCCUUCCUCCUUCCCUCACAGGAACACGCACCGCCGCAAGCGGCUUGGCAAGGCGGCGCCGGUCGGGCUGGGGGCAGGCAAUGGCGACGGAAGCGCACCGGGUGUUGGCGCCGCCGCCGCCGCCGCCGCUGGCGACAGCGACGGCGAAGGCGGCAGCAUGCGGCGCAGCAGCGGCUCCGAGCUCUGGCCCGAGUACAGCUCGGUACGACACCGUGCGGCGGAGUUCGGAUGGACGGCACCCGAGCACCGAGCCUCCAUGGCCUUGGGCAUCGACUCGCCCACCCGUGCGUCUGAGGCCGGGGGGCCGGGCGCCAGCACCGCCGGCGGGGAAGAGGGCGGCGAGGGCGGGGCAGGGGAGCGCUGGCGGCCGCCGCCGCCGGCCCGUGUGCCGGCUGGGUCGCCGCCUCCGACGGCGCCUGGCGAGCGCAGGAUGGGCCGCACCAUCACCAUCAUGCGCCGGCCGGACGCCAUGAUCACGGAGGACUGGAUGGAGGAGUUCCGCGACCAGCUGCUCGGUGAGGGCGCUGGGACUGUGUGAGGGCCUGGCUGUUGACGGCCACGCCAACGCAUGUGCACAUACAGUGUGCGAGCACUUGCUAUCAGCCCUUAUCUCCUGCCCUACAGCACCGUGGCUGCGCCGCUCCUCCGGCUUCGCCGCCGCAUCCUGCUUACCGUGACACAUCUCCCGCCGCAGCGGCUUUCAACCUCCUUGCCUUUUGCAUACGCGUGCCCGCAGAAAUUGAGAGCAGCCCCGUGGCGCCGCACAGCCCGCCCGACGGCAUCCAGCCGCUGCCGCCGCUGGGCGCAGGCGACAUGGACGCGGGCGCCUAUGUGCGCUCGCGGCUGGAGCGGCUGUGGGGCGUGCUGGGCAUGCCGCCGCACACGCGGCUGGACAUGGUGCUGUUCUUCACUAGCCGUGACCGCGCACUCACCUUUGCAGGCAGCCUGGAGCUGUGGGAGGCGGCCGCGGCGGCGGUGCUGUCGCGCGAGUCGCAGGUAGGGUGCGGCGCGCGGGCAUAUGAAAGCAGUGGGGAUGUGGCGUGUGUGCAUGACUGGAGGGCUGCAGGGGUAUCGGCUUGGUGGGCUGUGUUCUACACGUUCGCUUAGAGCAGUACAUGUUUCCUGGCAUGGCGCGACGUCCUUCCUCGACAUCGCCUCCUUGACACACCUUCUUGUUGUGUUGCAGGUGGAGGCGCUGGUUUCGGUUCAGCACGAGAUCGAGUCCAACAACGCGGACCGCCUCAGCCUGGGCGCCCUGUCCGCGCUGUGCGUGCGUGUGCUGCAGCAGACGCGGUGGGUGGCGGCGCUGAGCGAGCGGUUGCGGCAGGACAACGGCUGGGAGCUGACCUUCAACGGGCAGCCGUACCCGGGCCCAGAUGCCAUCAGCUCCACACACCUUGUGGCAUUCAUGGAGAUGUUGAGGCAGGCCACGGAGGUCACGGGGCUGCGGCCUUGAGCUGCGAGAGCGGCCCGGUGUGGCGGUGCUUGGUGGUGGUGGUGGUGGGGGGGCUACGCAGGUGUGGGGAGCACGGACGGGGAGCUAUGGGCGCUUCGCAGUAUUGGUGAGGGGAUUGAAUUUGCAUGUGCAAGUUUGUUGUUUUUGUGGUGUGUGUGGGGGGGGGGGGCAAGUUCGACGGCGAAUACGGGCGGGCAGCGGCAGGGGUAGCGGCAAGGUGGUGCAGGCUGUAGGAGGAAGCGGGGGUAAGUGGCAGACUGGCAGUGCUGGGCUCACAUGCAUUCUUGUAAGCUCGUAAUUGUGGGUUGAACAGCCGUUGCACUGCGUUACACUCCGCGCACUCGCAUCAUUGGUGUAAUAUGUUGUGUCAGCAAGGCGUCGGGCGGGUAAGGCGGGUAAGGCGCAGGCAGGGGCAGCACCGUAAAAUGACCACAGACCGCACAGACGGAGGCCGCAGUGAAUCAAUGAUGCUGGUGGAGUGGUGGGCUGAUUCUUGAAGGGGCGAUGCGCACGGAGAGCGGCCAAGGAUGCGCUGCUGGCUGAAGCCAGGCUGGCGUCAGCACGGGGCUCAGGCUGACAACACUUCCGUUAUAAAGCGGGAGUGAGGACGGGGAUGUCCACACAAGUCCACACAGUGUUGCAGCCGCUGAGUUCCUGCAUGCCCAGACAGUGAAGUCUUCGGGUGCUACGUGUCUGGGCCGCCUGGCGUUGAUAGCCGUCAGGCUGCGGGGGCUUGGAUGCUUCAGGAGAGGGUGAGCGGCCUGCAGCGCGCUGAGCGAUGCCGACAAGGCACACCGUCGACCAAAAGCAGGUUCUACCAUCGCCGCAUCGAGCACGAUGAAGCUCCUCUGUGCACAUCACUUAUAGCCACGGGCCCCUGGGCUUCACUCACAACACGGCCUUUCGAGUUCGGGACCCCGGCUUGCGCCCAUCUUGCUCGCACUUUGAUCCUCAAAGACCGCUUGCCGCGCGGCACUUCGCAGAAUCCUGGCCUCAGGCCCAAUACUUAAACUCGUUUUAGCAAGCUCCAGGCCCUCGCGGUGCUUCAAGGCAAGAGUCGUGCGGAGUUCCGAUUAUUGCUGGCCCUUGGCCCUGGCUUCCUCCACCUGCAAUCGACUGAGCUGGACUACCCAAUUUGUGCGACAGGGAGGCCGCGUCGUGCCGGAACGGCGAAAUGGGCUUGGCCUGGGCUUUGGACCCGGCCGUCCUCGGCCAGGUCUUCGCUGCGAUCCUGCCUGUGUGGCUUCUUGGCGCUCUGACUGGCUAUCUGGUGCGUUAUCUGGGCCCCGGGGAAUGGCUGCCCGUGCGCUGGCGACGGACCGAGCCAUCAACUCUCACGCCUUGACUUUCGCCGCGCAGAUUCCCCGGCCUGCGCCGGGCAAGACUCCAAGCGCUACUAGCUGGGCCCUCUUUCUGUCGGGAACGGGCUUCCGUCGAUGGGCCAUCGUCUACCACCUCUGUAUCAUUGUCCGGGUGCGUAUUCGGCGCGAGUCCCGGCUUCUAUGACCGCUCCCGAGUGCAGGUGACCGCCCAUUAUAGUUCUUCUAACAUACGCGACCAUAAUUGUGCUGCGCAGGACUUCUGGCGGACCUACUGCGCGCCGGGGACGUUCCGCGCCUUCUGCAAAGCCGUGGUCAGCUGGGCGAGCGGCAAAGGCUUUAACUUCGAGUUCCCAGCGGUCGCUGCGGAUGGCAGCUCCGUUGCUGAGGUUGGCACGAAGAGCGAGCGCGACGCUGACAACUGGUAAGUCGACCAGUCGCGACUGUGCCACUAUUCGGAGCAGGUUGGUUCGCACGCGGCGCGCGGCUCAGCGCUGUGCCCCACGAGCAUAAUCAAGCGACUCAUCCUGCAUACUUGCACUGUCGCCGUGCAGGUAUGUCACGCAGAAGGACCUGGCCUUCUUUCAGUACCACAUGGAGCAGGGCGGUGUCAGCGAGGGCGCCUCGCCCUGGGAGGUGCUGAUGGAGAAGGAGGUGCCCAACCUGAUCAAAUACGUCGCUUACCGCCGCACCCUCAAGGUGGGUCGCUGGGGCUGCGCGUCGGAGACUGGGCUCCCGCGCUUUUUCCCUCGUGUGCUGGUUCCACGCCAGCUUCCUUUCGACCACCAGCUCAGUAGAGCUCAGCGCCUUUCAUCCUGAUGUUCGUGUCCUUUCCAUCUCCCUUUCGGCCCUGCAGAGCGGCAAGACGGAGUACAAAAGUGUUACCUACAGCCCGGACGCCACCGCCCAGGAGUUCAUGGACCUGUACUUUGACGACGACUUCCGCCCCAAAUGGGUGAGUACAACUCGUCUCCCCCGCCCCGUCCGGCUGCGCCCUGCCAACGCUCUGUCGACUGGUUUUGCUCACAGCAGCGUCCAGAAACUCGCUUCGAUUGCGGUGCGCUUUGCUGACUGGUGGUCGCGUUUCCCUGAAACCUUCUUGCUCGCAGGAUACCAUGAUCAUCCACCACGAGGUGCUGGAGCACGGCGACUUUGCGCAGCGCCAGCAGGUGGUGCGCUGGACGCGCCGCUUCCCCUUCAAGUUCCUGUCGGACCGCGAGUACACCAUCGCGCGCCGUCUGUUUAAGACGGACGACGCCUUGUACGGCCUGACCAAGGUGCGUUUGCGCAAUUUGUGAUAGGUGGCGGCAGCAACGUAGCGCACGUCAUCGCUCGUUUGUGGUGCUGUAAUGUGCUGUACUGACGUCAAGCGCUGGCCCAUGAUGGUGCCUCCGUGUCUGAAGCGUUUAUGUGUGUCUCUGCUCUCUUGCAGGUCAUCGACCACCCCAGCUCGCAGCGCGACACCCAGGUGGUGAAGAUGGACGUCUUCUACAGCAUGUGGCGCUCUCGCACUGUGGAGUGCCCCUGGGGCAGCGGCAAGGCCGCCUGCGAGACGGUGCUGCUGCACCACGAGCAGUUUAAGAUCAUGGAGAACCUGGCGCGCUUCGCCGUGCGCCACGGCAUGUGGGGCUUCGUGCGCAACCUGGCGGAACGCACGCCCGAGUUCACGGCCGCGCGCCGCGGCCGUGGCGUGGGCCCUAACGACGUGGACCCCAUGGCGUACGGCCACAACGGAGCGCCCAUCCCGCCCGGCAGCAGCAGCGGCAGCACCGGCGGCGCCAACGGCACCGGCGGCAUGCAGAUGUCGCAGAGCUCGCUGUCGCUGUGCUCCAUGGACAGCAGCAGCGUAGGCGGCAGCGGCGGCUACGGCAUGGGCGGCGGCGCCGGCCACGGCGGUGCCCUGUCGCUGAGCCGUGCUGCCAGUGAGGGCCUACCGGGCCGGCCCAAGCCGGUGCCGGGCCGCGUGAAGGGCUUUUUGGCCAUGGCUGUGGCGGGCAUGGUGGCGGUGGCGGUCAAGCGCAGCAGCUCGGUGCCCAGCGGCCUGGAGAACGUCAAGGCGCUCAAGAGCAAGCGCCGCAACCUGCGCCAGUCGAACAGCAUGCUGUUUUAAGUGCGCCGCUGCUGAGAGCGAGACCGAAGACAAGUGGUGGCGACGCGAGUGAUUGCGCCGCGGCGAUGAACACACGGAGGGAGCUGCGACGGCAAUGGCUGCAGCGCCGCACCGCUGCUCACAAAAAUAUACGGGUAUCGCAGAUCGAUGUGGCUUCGGCCAAUGUCUCUAUAGUCUUCUUAUUGCGACUCUAUGGGUGCGCAUAAGAAACAGGAUGUGAUUUGCAUUAGGGUAAGCAGUAUUCGUCUUCGAUGUCUCGGUGACUUUGGGUAGCGUCGUGUGAUUGAUAGAUCGUUCAACCAUGUAGGGUUGGAUCGAAUGCAGGGUAUCUGUCAGCAGGCAUCUAUAGUGCUGGUACGGAUCACUUACUUAAUGGCGCGUGUGCUCUGCAUACGCGUACACCCUUACCCAUCACGGAUCCGAUCGGAUCGUCACAAGCACAAGGGGCGCCCGCAUGACCUCGGUACUCCGGCAUGCGCUUCAGGUGGCCCCUUGCAUUCCCGACACGUUCCUAGAUCCUUCUCCCUUUCAUGCCUAGUUAUGCCUUGUGCGGGCCCAAACCGCACAAGCUGUUUCCUGACUUUAAACCCUAAAUGCGGACGGUGUGCAAAGCACCAUUUCGUUUCGUGGAUGGGGCUGUGCUGCUGUUGGAACUGAGCGUGCUAAUGGCGCCCGUGUCGAAUCGCAACUUCCAAACAAGUUGUGAUUGCGCGGGGUUUUGGGUUCACAAUGGAUUGUUGCGUAUGUGGUAUGUGAUGCAGAGUGCGAGCGGAUGGUGAUUGCGCUGGGGUGGAUCCGGCAUGCGGAAGGCGUAGGACUCAAGUGGCGCAGGUGAACAGCUUUCGAGUUUGCCCCGGAAAGUUGGGGUGUUGCCUCCAGCAAUUCGGGGGCCGGUGGAGUAUGGGGCACAUACAGGGUGAGACAUUUGGUUGGCAACGGAGGAGAAAAGCGUGUUGCGCAUUGCAUGAGUUGGUCGCGACGAGGGGAGUAUCGUGGGGGAGUACCCACGAGGAGUACCGGAGAAGAG
This 29155-nucleotide long non-coding RNA is filed under the name Chlamydomonas reinhardtii. RNAcentral describes it as "long non-coding RNA (CREI_LNC000271)". The record is from RNAcentral. Lineage: Eukaryota; Viridiplantae; Chlorophyta; Chlorophyceae; Chlamydomonadales; Chlamydomonadaceae.